AGAUUGAACGCUGGCGGCAUGCCUUACACAUGCAAGUCGAACGGUAGAGUAGCAAUACUCGAGAGUGGCGAACGGGUGAGUAAUAUAUCGGAACGUGCCCAGUCGUGGGGGAUAACGUAGAGAAAUUUACGCUAAUACCGCAUACGAUCUACGGAUAGAAGGCGGGGGAUCGCAAGACCUCGCGCGAUUGGAGCGGCUGAUAUCAGUAUUAGGUUGUUGGUAGAAGGUAAACGCCUACAACGACGACCGA
Molecule: ribosomal RNA, 250 nt
Filed under: uncultured soil bacterium
Lineage: Bacteria
Description: partial 16S ribosomal RNA
Rfam family: Bacterial small subunit ribosomal RNA
Source: RNAcentral